This 468-nucleotide ribosomal RNA is filed under the name uncultured bacterium. RNAcentral's name for it is "partial 16S ribosomal RNA". It matches the Rfam family "Bacterial small subunit ribosomal RNA", at positions 28 to 507 of the family's 1533-position model. The record is from RNAcentral.
GACGAACGCUGGCGGCGUGCCUAACACAUGCAAGUCGAACGGAAAGGCCCUGCUUUUGUGGGGUGCUCGAGUGGCGAACGGGGGAGUAACACGUGAGUAACCUGCCCUUGUCUUUGGGAUAACUUCAGGAAACUGGGGCUACUACCGUAUCGGAUCCCCUGCUGCAUGGUGGGGGUUGGAACGUUUCGGCGGGCGGGGAUGGACUCGCGGCUUACGAGCUUGUUGGUGGGGUGGUGGCUUACCAAGCGAUAGACGGGUACGCGGCCUGUGAGGGUGACCGGGCACAUGGGGACUACGAUAGGGACCAGACGGGUACGUUAGGCAACAGUGGCAAGCAUUAUACAGUGGUAGGAAGCCUGAUGAAGCAACGCCGCGUGCGUGAAGACGUUCUGCUGGGUGUAAACAGCAGUCGCCUGUGACGAAGCGUUUGUGACGGUAACGGGUAAAGAAGCACCGGCUAACUACGUG